Long non-coding RNA from Gavialis gangeticus (Gharial), 2348 nucleotides. RefSeq lists it as uncharacterized. Lineage: Eukaryota; Metazoa; Chordata; Crocodylia; Gavialidae. The transcript has 2 exons. The record is from RefSeq and is a predicted model, not a curated record.
GUCAUGGGAUCCUCAUCUAUAGAAAAGGAACUGAUGUACAGAGAGCAAGAUUAAACCAGUUCCAUAAAAGUAUUUUGGUACCAAACCUCCCAUUGAUUUCUUUGAGAAAUCCUGGAGAAAAGCAUCAGAUAUCAACAGACUUGGCAAUACUGCCCAAGUGUAGAAAACAAGACUCUCUCUCUGCUGUCUGAGGUGGGGAAAAAUGCAAGACAGCAACCAACACACAGCAUGCACUGUGACAGCAGAAUGUCAGACAUCCUCCUGGUUUGAUGCAGUUUGAGGAUCACCACGGAUCUGUAAAGCAAGGUUUUAAAACCUCUACACCCUUUCUGUGUAUAAUCCCUCUGACAAUCACACUUUCUGCACCCCCAAGCAGAGGUGGUUACCUUUAUUGGCCAAGCUGACAGCCACAGAGAUUGACAUUGGAUUGCUUUGAGAAGACCAAGCUCCAAGGAGCUAUUUGCAGUUCAGAGCUUAUGAUACAGAGCAAAUUCCAAGCCUGUUAUCCAGUCUGCUCUGGCAGAAUGACAGUAUUAAAACAAAUACAGUACUGUCAUGGUCUCUAGGUCUAGAAACUUGAACGAAGUAGUAUGAAACGGCUCGCCUGAGAGCAAUUUAUGGGAUGGGAAUUCUUUGGUAGGCCAGGAGGUACAGAGAGGCUUUGACUGAGCCCUACAGGAUUUUUUAUAGCAACCUUUUGCCCUUCCAACUUUCACUGUGUCCUGAUCUGAGAACAGAGGGAGAUAAUUAGGCCAAAGGACAGAGAGUUUGACUGCUCAGAAAGCAAGUCUCUCUCACCCAUGCAGCUAUGAGAACUUAGCCCUUAUUGAGAACUUUGUACCUUAAAGCACUUUACACUACCUCCAUUGAGUAAUUAAUCUCAUACUAAUGAUCCAAUUAUUCCCAACAGCUAAUUCUCUGCCUAGGACACACUUAAGCGGUACCAGUUCUACCUAGCAAAGGGAACACUGUACAGUCUGGUCACCAGAAGCAUCAAACUUGUUUGGCUUGGCAGGCUGGGUCUGGACUGCAGGACUUCUUCCUGGCCAGACAACCCAUCUUCAGCAAUGGGACAGGUGGCCACAGCAGCAUUAACUCCCAUGUGAUACAGCAGCUCAGGCAUUAACCCCCGCAGCUGCCUUAGCUGGUCUGUCAAUGUGGGGCCACGACACCCUGCCACCAGGGCAAGGUGUCCCCAACAUGGAUCACAACAGAAAUUUGGCAACAGGGUGAUCAGGAUCCACAGGCAUAAUCCAAUCACUUAGCGUGGACAUUCUGGGGCACAAUGAGUGGUGGCCACAUUAACCACGCACAGGCUGGUCUCACAGACAGAAUUUCCAGGUCUGUGGGGCAGAUGCAGAAGUGCAUCUUCUGCAUGGCGAGAUGGGGCCCAUGGGUCACAUGCUUGACACCCCCCUCCCCUGCCCCAACCCCACCUAUGUAACCAAGUCUAGAAAGUUAAUGGCAAUGAUGUCGAAGGACUCCUAGGAAAGACCCAUUGGGCAGGGAUUUGCUGGUGGGACUGGAGUUCAGAGGGGCUUUGCCCAAGCACCACAGGGCUCAGUGUACAGGAAGGCCUGAUGAAAACCUGGCAGUCCAUUUUAUACCACUGCACCCUAAUCUGAGAACAAGGGAGGGCUACCAAAGGGCAGACAGUUUAACCCCUCUGAAGGGAAUCCCUCUCAGGCAGCCAUGCUGUUCCAUACAGCCAGGACUUAGCCCCAAGUGAGAACUUUAUUCCUUUAAAGCACUUUACACACAUUAACUAAUUAAUCCCAAACUAAUUAUCUUAUUACUCCCAACCACCAGCUUGAGGGUCUUGGCUAAGAGGAUUUUCUGGAGGGCACAAUCGCUUUAGGACCAUUAGAAACAUUGGUUGUGGCUCAAGUUUGGCUGUGCUAUGUGGUGGGGUGGGCAGAAGAUAGGAAAUAGCUGACUCCACACAAUUCACAAACAGCACGUGGGUCCCACCACACGUAGGACCUGCUUCUGGGAUGUUCUCAGGCAGCUAUCAGCUUUCAAGCUCCAUCUGCUACCACCUAAUAGAGCCUGCAAAAUGGGUUGGCCACUCUUCCAAAUUCCCAGGUUUCUCUGUGCACAGCUAUCCCAAAAUGCAUUGCAAACUAGCUCUCUUUCCCAGGCUGGGCCCAGAGGCUCUGGAGCAGAGCUGGGGAUGCUACUUUCACACAGGUGUCAAAGUGUGAAAGCUGUAACAGCAGAAUUUAGCAGAGGUUGAGCCUAAUUAAGCUCAUAGUAAGGAGCAUCUUUAAGGCUUUUGCUUCUCAGGAUAUAACUGGGGGGACAGGAGGUCCUGCAGACCCCAUCAGGGAGCCUGGGAUACUUGCAGA